GACGAACGCUGGCGGCGUGCUUAACACAUGCGAGUCGAGCGGUAAGGCCCCUUCGGGGGUCCACGAGCGGCGAACGGGUGCGUAACACGUGAGCAAUCUGCCCAUCACAUCGGGAUAACUCCGGGAAACCGAAGCUAAUACCGAAUACGACCACCUCCGGCAUCGGAUGGUGGUGGAAAGUUCCGGCGGUGAUGGAUGAGCUCGCGGCCUAUCAGCUUGUUGGUGGGGUAACGGCCCACCAAGGCUUCGACGGGUAGCCGGCCUGAGAGGGUGACCGGCCACACUGGGACUGAGACACGGCCCAGACUCCUACGGGAGGCAGCAGUGGGGAAUAUUGGACAAUGGGCGAAAGCCUGAUCCAGCAACGCCGCGUGAGGGAUGACGGCCUUCGGGUUGUAAACCUCUUUCAGCAGGGACGAAGCGCAAGUGACGGUACCUGCAGAAGAAGCACCGGCCAACUACGUG
RNAcentral lists this ribosomal RNA (465 nucleotides) under uncultured bacterium. Its description in RNAcentral is "partial 16S ribosomal RNA". It matches the Rfam family "Bacterial small subunit ribosomal RNA", at positions 28 to 507 of the family's 1533-position model. The record is from RNAcentral.